Molecule: unclassified non-coding RNA, 432 nt
Filed under: soil metagenome
Description: partial contains 5.8S ribosomal RNA, internal transcribed spacer 2, and large subunit ribosomal RNA
Rfam family: 5.8S ribosomal RNA (bases 1-120)
Source: RNAcentral
GAUGAAGAACGCAGCGAAAUGCGAUACGUAAUGUGAAUUGCAGAAUUCAGUGAAUCAUCGAAUCUUUGAACGCAUAUUGCGCUCUCUGGUAUUCCGGAGAGCAUGCUUGUUUGAGUAUCAGUAAACACCUCAACUCCCCUUUCUUUUUUUGAAAUGGGAGCUGGACUUGAGUGAUCCCAACGCUUUUCUCACCGAAAAGUGGCGGGUUACUUGAAAUGCAGGUGCAGCUGGACUUUUCUCUGAGCUAAAAGCAUAUCUAUUUAGUCUGCCUAAAAAACAGAUUAUUACCUUUGCUGCAGCUAACAUAAAGGAGAUUAGUUCUUGUGCUGACUGAUGCAGGAUUCACAGAGACAGCUUCGGCUGGCCUUUGUAAACUCGAUCUCAAAUCAAGUAAGACUACCCGCUGAACUUAAGCAUAUCAAUAAGCGGGGA